RNAcentral lists this ribosomal RNA (252 nucleotides) under uncultured prokaryote. Its description in RNAcentral is "partial 16S ribosomal RNA". It matches the Rfam family "Bacterial small subunit ribosomal RNA", at positions 525 to 775 of the family's 1533-position model. The record is from RNAcentral.
ACGUGGGGUGCGAGCGUUAAUCGGAAUUACUGGGCGUAAAGAGCAUGUAGGCGGCUAUGUAAGUCGGUUGUGAAAGCCUUCCGCUUAACGGAAGAAUGGCGGUCGAAACUGCAUGGCUUGAGUGCGGGAGGGGAGAGUGGAACUUCUGGUGGAGCGGAGAAAUGCGUAGAUAUCAGAAGGAACGCCGGCGGCGAAAGCGACUCUCUGGUCCGAAACUGACGCUGAGUGUGCGAAAGCUAGGGGAGCAAACGG